CCAAAGGGGCCGGCUGGAGAUUUUUUGCAGCCUGUCCUGGUAUUUGGCGAGGGAGCAAGAGUGACAACUUAUUGGAAGUUCUCAAGGAAUCAUUUAUAUUUCACACUCCACUAGGCAGCUGAUUUGAGAUUGUCUGUUAGCAUAACAAAAGCUCCGAGCCUGUGAACUUCAGAACCCUUUCGACCUCUUCGCUGCUGGCAUGAAUAGCCCUCAGCCUUGCCUAUAGAGAUCUCCCCAAGCUCCCCUGUUCGUGGUUAAAUUGUUAAUCAGGGUAAUUUAAUAUAGUUUUCAAUAUGCCUCAUCUCUUAUUGGCGAAAGGCAUUCACGGAUUUGCCUCCCCUCCCUCUCGAUUUUUUAAAGAGUUUUUUUUUAUAUAAGGGGGAAAAAAAUCAAGUGUGAGAGAGGGGCAGCUGCAGACAGGACCCCCCCCCCUUCCUUCCUUCACUCUCCUCUCCCCAGUUCCCCUUGAAGGGCAGCCUCCAAGAGUGGAGGGCGACCAAAUGCAAAAUUCACACAGAGCAACAAUCCCUUUCCUUGCACUCCAACCUGAACCUGAAAUUCCAGACUGUGUACUCUCCAUGACUCUCCCACCCCACAAAACCCUCUCUAGCUCUCUCUUUCCCAAGCAGACCAAACAAAACAACCACAAAAGCCAGAAUCCCCCACCUUAACUGAACCAAGAUAUUUGAUGCCAUUCCUUUCCCAGCAUUGACACAAGGCCCACGAUUGGGAGCAACAUGCCUCUGAUAAAGGUGGCACAAACAACUGGCCUUCUUUGUGUUGUCCAAGGCUUUCAUAGCCAGAAUCACUGGGUUGCUGUGAGUUUUUCAGGCUGUAUGGCCUUCCUUUUUCUUCUUCGUGUUGCAUCACAUUGUGCCAAUGGAAAAGUGCAUUUACUCACUGAGGAAACAACUACCAUCACCCUGUGGCAAAUGUUAAUCCUUCUGGGUUGCUGUGAGUUUUCCAACUAUAUGGCCAUGUUCCAGAAGCAUUCUCUCCUGACAUUUCACCCACAUCUAUGUCAGGCAUCCUCAGAGGUUUUGAGGUAUACUGGAAACUAAACAAGAGAGGUUUCUAUAUCUGUGGAAGGUCCAAGGAGGGAGAAAGAACUCUUGCAUGUUGGAGGCAGGUGUGAAUGUUGCAAUUAAUCACAUUGAUCAGCAUUGGAAAGCCUUUCAGCUUCAAGGCCUGGCUGAUUCCUGCCUGGGGCAAUCCUUUGCUGGGAGGUGUUAGCUGGCCCUGAUUGUUUCAUGACUGGAAUGCCCCCGUUUUGAGAGUGUUGUUCUUUAUUUACUGUCCUGAUUUUAGAUUUUUUUUUAAUGCUGGUUGCCAGAUUUUGUUCAUUUUUAUGGUUCCUCCUUUCUGUUGAAAUUGUCCACAUGCUUGUGGAUUUCGCCUAGAUGUGGGCGAAACGUCAGGAGAGAAUGCUUCUGGAACAUAGCCAAACAGCCUGGAAAACUCACAGCAACCCAGUGAAUCUGGCCAUGAAAGCUUUCAACAACAUGUUAAUACUUCUGUUUCUCCUCUCUCUUUCUCCCCGUGCACUCUUCGAUAAAAUAAUUAACAUUUCUCUAUGAUUUCUUUUUCAGAAAAAGGGAUAACCUCUUUGGUUUCUCAGUAGUGACUGAUCUCAGAGGAAAUGGAGGUCUUUCCCUCCUUCUCUCACAAACACACUUUCUUACACUACAUUCUCUCUCACACACACAGACAUACACACAGAGCAAGAUCUCAUAGGGGGUGGGGGUGGGAGUCAACAGCAGGCAGCUCGUUAUAUUCCAGCUCUUUUAAUUACCAAUUCAGGCAUCUCAUUUUCAUCAAGCUAAUUGUGAAGAACUUCUGGGAGAUACCCAAAAGAUGCGAGGUUUUGAUUCCUUACGCACUUCAACCCAUAGCUGGAAAACUGGAGAAAACUGCGAUAUAGGACAACAAUUUCCCUCUGCAAGUUUAUUCUGUUAUUUUAUUACUUUUUGUGGGGAAAAAAUACAGUAUCAGCCAAGACUUAUAUUUUAAAGCCAAUUUUUCUUAAUGGUUAGACCAUGGCUCAUCUUUUCCUUUUCCGAACUGCGAUUUAAGGCAGAUCACAACAAGAUCAAAACAGUGAUCUCCAGUGCAACCAGUCAGAAGCAGGAUCCCUAUCAUAUUGUUCCACUCAUCAGAAAUUGCUAAUGGGAGUUCCUCCAUUUAUGCAGACGACAGAGCUGUACCUGGUUGACUGAUAUUUUAAUUGUUGCAAACUCUUGUUUUUAUUGUAUUACUGUUUUAUCUUUUGUAUAUUGAAUUGAAUUUUGUGGCUUUUUGCUCAAUUGUAUGGUUCGGGCCUUGGCCCAUAUGUGCUGCCCCAAGUCCCCCCAAGGAGAUGGUGGCGGCGGGGUAUAAAUAAAGUUGUUGUUGUUGUUGUUAUUAUUAUUAUUAUUAUUAUUAUUAUUAUUAUUAUUAUUAUUAUUAUUAUUAUUAUUAUAUGGCCUAAGGACUAAUCAAUAAAAUGUUCUAUAUUCUAUUAUUAUAAUAAAAACAUCAAAACAUC
Anolis carolinensis (green anole) is the source of this 2524-nucleotide long non-coding RNA. RefSeq lists it as uncharacterized. The record is from RefSeq and is a predicted model, not a curated record. Lineage: Eukaryota; Metazoa; Chordata; Lepidosauria; Squamata; Anolidae. The transcript is spliced from 4 exons.